This 673-nucleotide long non-coding RNA is filed under the name Zonotrichia albicollis (white-throated sparrow). Its description in RNAcentral is "lncRNA (ENSZALG00000018101.1)". Lineage: Eukaryota; Metazoa; Chordata; Aves; Passeriformes; Passerellidae. The record is from RNAcentral.
AGGAAGGAAUAGGUUUGGAAAGUACAGCCGUUUCCCUCCAUAGCUGCUGAAUUUGCCUUUCCCCACAGAUAUUUUUUUAAAUGGAAGUAUUUCUCCACCUGCUGGCUUCAAGGAGGAUAUUGCAGCCUUCCAAACAGACAACUUCAUACAGGCAGUGGAAUACCUGCAUAAUAAAAGUCUGUUUGGGAUCAACAACAUUUCUGUGCUGAUACUCUGGAACUGCUGCAUCUGUAGACUGGUGAGAAGAGGACUGGAGGAUAUAACAUGAACUGCCUACAUCAAUCUAAAGCCUGGAAAGUUUUUAAUGGUUUUAAUGUGAAAACACUCCUGUUGUGAGGCCCUAAAGAACUCCUCCUAGAAAAGUGCAACCAAAGAAUAACCAAAAAUGAUGAUAAUUCAAUGUGAUGUAAGCAAUGCCACAGUUGAAGACUGCUCUCCAGAAGAGACCAAAAUCACAGCAGUGUUUGCUAACAAGGCUAUAACUUCACAUGAUUGGCACUGUAGUUUUGAGGAAAUUUCAACAUGUUGGUCAUUUCACAAGAAAUUGCAAGUAGUUUUGUUAGGUAAAUGUUGAUCAUUUGACAGAAGUUAGAUAGCAAUAUCUAUUCAGUAUUCAGUGUUGCACUAGAGAAGACAUUUAUGCUAUAAUAAAACAAUGUAAUUCUGAUAACCA